RNAcentral lists this ribosomal RNA (213 nucleotides) under Diversispora sp. W5257. The record is from RNAcentral. Lineage: Eukaryota; Fungi; Glomeromycota; Glomeromycetes; Diversisporales; Diversisporaceae.
CAGUCAUGCUAGUGAAAAAUCAGUUUGACGGGUUUUGAGUUCGGGAGUAGAGGCAGGGUCAAACCGUUUCUCUUUUGGACUUGGGAUUUGUUAGAUGCACUUCCUCACUCGGCAGGUUAGCAUCAAUUUCGGUUAUCAUAAAAAAUUUAAGGGAAUGUGGCUUUUCUCGGAAAAGUGUUAUAGACCUUGAUCUAUGUGGUGACCGGAUUGAGG